AUGGGCGCCGUCGCCUCCACGGUGGCGGCGCGCUUCGCCUUCUUCCCGCCCUCCCCGCCGUCGUACGGCGUCGAGCCCCCGCCCUCGCCGGCGGCCGCGGCCGCGGACGGCGCGGUGGUGGAGCUCAGCGGGGUGCCCCGGCGGGGCGGCGUGGAGGCGCGGCGGCUGCCGACCAAGCGCGGCUCGGAGGUGGUGGCCAUGUACGUGCGCCAGCCCGGGGCGCGCCUCACGCUGCUCUACUCCCACGGCAACGCCGCCGACCUGGGCCAGAUGUACGAGCUCUUCGUCGAGCUCAGCUCACACCUCAACGUCAACCUCAUGGGUUAUGAUUAUUCUGGAUAUGGGCAAUCAUCUGGGAAGCCAAGUGAGCAGAACACUUAUGCAGACAUAGAGGCCGCUUAUAGGUGUCUCAUAGAAACUUAUGGGGCCUCCGAGGAAAACAUCAUUCUGUAUGGUCAAUCAGUUGGCAGUGGCCCUACUUUAGAUUUGGCAUCUCGUUUGCCUCAUUUGAGAGCAGUGGUUCUACAUAGUCCAAUUUCGUCUGGCUUGAGAGUAAUGUAUCCUGUGAAACAUACAUACUGGUUUGACAUAUAUAAGAACAUUGACAAAGUUACAUUGGUCAAAUGCCCCGUGUUAGUAAUCCAUGGUACGGCUGAUGAUGUUGUUGACUGUUCUCAUGGGAGAGCACUGUGGGAACUGUCCAAAGUGAAGUAUGAGCCUUUGUGGGUCAAAGGUGGGAACCAUUGUAAUUUGGAACUCUAUCCCGAAUACAUUAAGCACCUAAAGAAGUUCGUCACAGCCAUAGAGAAGUCCCCACCACUGAAAGAUGAAUCUCCAGAAAGUUCAGGCCCUUCAGAUCUUGAAACAGGAUCUGAAAGUAUGGAGAGUUCAAGAAAAAGCACGGAUGUGAGGGACAAAUCAAGGUCAAGCACUGAUCACAGGCGGAGUACAGACCGACGGGAGAAACCAAGGAGCAGCAUAGAUAGGAAGGAUAAAGGCAGAAAGAGUGUAGAUCAUCCUGACAAACCACGGGCUAGUGUGGAUCAAUCUGAUAAGCCACGGAAAAGCAUUGACCGCUUUGGAGGGAUGAUGAGGUCGGUUAAAUUGUGCAAUAUUGACUGCUUCAAAGUAACUUCCACUUCCGGGAGCUGA
This 1152-nucleotide ribosomal RNA is filed under the name Triticum aestivum (bread wheat). RNAcentral describes it as "partial small subunit ribosomal RNA". Lineage: Eukaryota; Viridiplantae; Streptophyta; Magnoliopsida; Poales; Poaceae. The record is from RNAcentral.